UACGAGGGGGGGCAAAUGUUGUUCGGAAUCACUGGGCGUAAAGGGUGCGUAGGCGGCGCGGUAAGUCGGGUGUGAAAUCUCGGAGCUUAACUCCGAAACUGCAUUCGAUACUGCCGUGCUUGAGGACUGGAGAGGAGACUGGAAUUUACGGUGUAGCGGUGAAAUGCGUAGAUAUCGUAAGGAAGACCAGUGGCGAAGGCGGGUCUCUGGACAGUUCCUGACGCUGAGGCACGAAGGUCAGGAGC
RNAcentral lists this ribosomal RNA (245 nucleotides) under uncultured bacterium. Its description in RNAcentral is "partial 16S ribosomal RNA". It matches the Rfam family "Bacterial small subunit ribosomal RNA", at positions 524 to 767 of the family's 1533-position model. The record is from RNAcentral.